Molecule: long non-coding RNA, 1021 nt
Filed under: Gossypium barbadense (sea-island cotton)
Lineage: Eukaryota; Viridiplantae; Streptophyta; Magnoliopsida; Malvales; Malvaceae
Description: long non-coding RNA (GBAR_LNC011658)
Source: RNAcentral
CCAUAAUUACUCUAAAAUAAAAACUGUAUUAUUUUGAUAACUUUUAAAAAAAGUUCUCAAUUCAAUAUGAUUGCUACCAUUGUUUCUCUCGCCUGAUCUUCUCAUGCCAUCAAAACCGUCGCCCGAAAAUGCAUUAACGAGCUGGAUUACCCGCCGGUGAAAAAAUCUGUUUCCAAUCAACCUUUAUAUCUAAUAAAUCAAGUUCUCCAUUAGACACACAAACUUCAAAUAUAUAUUAUUAAUAUCAACAACGAUAUACUCAUAAUUUAUUAUAUCAUUUUAAAUUUUAAUUAUAUAUAUUUUGAUAUAAUAUUUAGAACAACUUAUAACUUUCCUUAUUUAUAAAUAAGAAUAUAAUAGAAUAUAAAGACACAAUUUUUUUUUUUAAGAAAACAGAAAAGCAGAAAAUGGGCAAUCUUUGAUUUACUUUCCAUAAGCAGAUUUUACAGAAAUGUUAUGCUAUUAUUCAGAAAUCCAUCAGUGAAAAUAUUUGUUUUUGAUGUAUUAUAAGAUUUCACUCUCACACCACACUCAUAGAAAUCUAUCUCCAGAGCAAACGACAAAGCUUGGUUUUGAUUGGAAAAGCAAGCAAGCCCAUUUUAGCAAGCAAUAUUAAAAGAGGAGGGAACUUAGCUUUAGCCUCCCAAAUCAAAUUGUAAAGAGGCAAAGAAUAACGAAACAUUAUAAGCAAGCUAGUAAUGUUGUACCUGAGCAAUGGCGACGAUGAACUGACGGAACCAAGGGGCAUACGCAGAUUGUUUCUUGAGCCUAGGAGACACCGGUGGGUAAUCGGGAUCGUUGAUCAAUUUUCAAGCGACGGUUUUGAUGGCGAGGAAUAAGAAAAUGAGUAAGAGAAACAAUGGCGGCAGUGAUAUGAGGAAGAAGAUGGUAGAGAGUAUAAUAUUUUUUUUCGUUUCUUUAUUUUAGUGAAUGGUGGUAGUCAACGGAAGAGAUAGAAAGAAGAAAUGAUUGAAUCAGAUGGAUUAAAAUUUUGAAGCUAAGUUGGUAAGUUUGAAUUGGA